This 508-nucleotide ribosomal RNA is filed under the name uncultured bacterium. RNAcentral describes it as "partial 16S ribosomal RNA". It matches the Rfam family "Bacterial small subunit ribosomal RNA", at positions 28 to 507 of the family's 1533-position model. The record is from RNAcentral.
GACGAACGCUGGCGGCGUGCCUAAUACAUGCAAGUCGAACGCUUCUUUCCUCCCGAGUGCUUGCACUCAAUUGGAAAGAGGAGUGGCGGACGGGUGAGUAACACGUGGGUAACCUACCCAUCAGAGGGGGAUAACACUUGGAAACAGGUGCUAAUACCGCAUAACAGUUUAUGCCGCAUGGCAUAAGAGUGAAAGGCGCUUUCGGGUGUCGUUGAUGGAUGGACCCGCGGUGCAUUAGCUAGUUGGUGAGGUAACGGCUCACCAAGGCCACGAUGCAUAGCCGACCUGAGAGGGUGAUCGGCCACACUGGGACUGAGACACGGCCCAGACUCCUACGGGAGGCAGCAGUAGGGAAUCUUCGGCAAUGGACGAAAGUCUGACCGAGCAACGCCGCGUGAGUGAAGAAGGUUUUCGGAUCGUAAAACUCUGUUGUUAGAGAAGAACAAGGACGUUAGUAACUGAACGUCCCCUGACGGUAUCUAACCAGAAAGCCACGGCUAACUACGUG